This 484-nucleotide ribosomal RNA is filed under the name uncultured bacterium. RNAcentral's name for it is "partial 16S ribosomal RNA". It matches the Rfam family "Bacterial small subunit ribosomal RNA", at positions 29 to 507 of the family's 1533-position model. The record is from RNAcentral.
AUUGAACGCUGGCGGCAGGCCUAACACAUGCAAGUCGAGCGGAUGAAGGGAGCUUGCUCCUGGAUUCAGCGGCGGACGGGUGAGUAAUGCCUAGGAAUCUGCCUGGUAGUGGGGGAUAACGUCCGGAAACGGGCGCUAAUACCGCAUACGUCCUGAGGGAGAAAGUGGGGGAUCUUCGGACCUCACGCUAUCAGAUGAGCCUAGGUCGGAUUAGCUAGUUGGUGGAGUAAAGGCCUACCAAGGCGACGAUCCGUAACUGGUCUGAGAGGAUGAUCAGUCACACGGGAACGGAGACGCGGCCCAGACUCCUACGGGAGGCAGCAGGGGGGAAUCUGGGACAAGGGGCGAAGGCCUGACCGAGCAAUGCCGCGUGAGAGAAGAAGGUGUUGGGAUAGUAAACCUGUUUAAUUGGGGAGGAAGGAAAGAAUUUUAAUCCGUGCUUGUUUGGACUUUACCAAAAAAAAAAGCCCCGGCUAACUUCGUG